This is a long non-coding RNA of Homo sapiens (human), 5012 nucleotides long. RefSeq lists it as uncharacterized. Lineage: Eukaryota; Metazoa; Chordata; Mammalia; Primates; Hominidae. The transcript has 3 exons. The record is from RefSeq and is a predicted model, not a curated record.
UGGCUCUCACCUGUGGAGGGCAGGGUGCUCUCAUGUUUGUUUAUACCAGAACAUAGAAUAGAACUUGGUAAAGGUAAAUGCUCAUUUAAGAAAUAAAAAUACAUCAAAUAAAGUAAAAAGCAACCUGGUAGAUAGCAUUUCCUUUUCAUUUUUUUAAAAUAGCUUUAUCGAAGGAUAAUUGAAUGGAAAUGGUCAUUAAUAUAUAUCCAGAAUCUAUUAACGUUCGGCUAAGUUGGGGGGAACAUAGGGAUGUUUUAAGGCAACUAAGCGAUUUAGAAAACUUAAGUUCUUUAAUGUUUUCAAAGAAAAGGUUGAGUCUGUAAGAUAUAAUCUGGCAAUUUGUAUAGAACUCUUUCUACUAGCUUCCAGGAAUCCCUGCUCUGUGAGCUUUUUGCCAAACUGAUUGAUCUUCCCAGACAUAAUCUGGGGACCUUCUCUAAUAUGCCCCUGUCCCGCUGUCAGCUUAAUACACUCUUUUGCUAAGUAAUAGGGUAUUGCUAGUGUUCUUCCAGGUUCUCUUCAUAAAGGCGCUUCUCUGUCAAUAAGAGACUGUGUUUAUAUUCUUGUGCACAAAUAACUGGCCCUCUUCUCAGUGUUUGAGAUCCCUCAUCUUGCUCCGACUGUUGCAGCCUUUUCUCGCCAUGACAGACUGCCAUACUACAUGGCCUUCUCCCAUCGAAAGGGUCUAGCAUGUGGACCACUGAACUGCCAAGGAAGCAGUCCAACUGCCCUGAGGCUGCCAUGCUGUGAGGAAACCCAAAGUGGUCCAUAAAGAAGGAUUAUGUGGAGGGACCCUGAAAGAUGCCUGGCCUGCCUCCCACUGCUCCAGUACCCUCCUCCCCAACUCUUCCAGCUUCAGCCACUGUCUGCAACCACAUGAGAGCUCCCGAGCCAUAAAUGCCCAGCCUAGUCUCCCCUAAGUUUCUAACCCACAGUUUAAACUACUAAGCUUGGGUUGCUUUGUUAUGCCUCAAUAGCAACUGGGACAUGCCCCUUUCUCCAUUCUGCUGCUGAAUCUGGUUACAGCAGCAGAGACACAUGCCAGGGGCAUCUCUAGUAACAGGGGAAAGCCCUUUGGGAGUAGAUUCAAAGUGGGGGGUCAAGACAAAUUAUUCAGCGAGCCUGACUUUUAGAACUCAAGGGGCACCAAGUAAGUGCAUGAUCCUGAGGCAAUCAAUUCCUCUCGUUUUCCUUUUUUUGUAAAGGGAUGAACUAGACACAGUGUGGAAAGCCAGCUUUACCACAUUCUCCUACGAUCUUCUGAAGUUACCUAAUCUCUCUAACCCCAGAUUCCUCUUCUGUAAAAUGGGGAUAAUAGCCACAAAAAUAGAACAGUAGUGUAAAAUUAGAUAGUAUGUGUGGAAAAGUAGAGUCUUGAAACUUGACUUAAGUGGUUGAUGAAUGUUAGCCCCCUCCACCAAUGCCUUCCCCUUGCAUUCUAAUAUUCUCUGCUCCUCUGAGCAAAUUUACCAGAUGAUUGUUGGAGUUUUUUGUAAUCCUCAUCAAGUCAGAGAAGACUAGUGAGGUUGUGGCAAAUAAAUGAUUCUGAGGGUCCAGGGCGAGCUUUAGGUAAAUUGUGGUUUUAGUGUUUGAGAAAGAGCCUGUCACUAGUGGGAGUCUUCAUUAUUCACUGGCAAGAUAUAACAAGCAGGGCUUUGCAGUAAUGCACAGCUCCUCUGCUCUUGGCAAUCUUGUGGCCGAAAGAUAUUUUUAAAGCCCCUGUUUUCAGAUGACCGUGUUUCUGAUUAGCAUGUGUCUUUUCCAUUUUCAGUUCCACGAAGAGAAAGGCAAGUGAAAUUUGCCCAGCCUCACCAUCUCCAAAUGGGUGAUAUUACUGAACAAUUAUUUAAUGGCCCCACAGCAUCUGUUUUUUAUAUUUUGGGGUCCAUACUGGAAGUUCAAGCUUAUGAAUAAUCCAGAUAUUUAAAAGCCAAUGCUCAACUGGAUAUUCUCCUUAGGAUUAUUUUAGCCUUGUCUAGAAUCAGAGUGUCUGUCAAUUGCCACAACAUAUAUAUUAAGUUUGAAAGAGAUUAAGCUGGAAAAUUCGAUAUUUUAAAAAUAAUACCAAGAGAGGCUGGGAGCAGAAAGAGAAGAAAAGAUAACUAUUGGGUACUGGGUGAUGAAAUAAUAUUUACAAUAAACCCCCAUGGCAAGUGUUUACCUAUGUAGCAAACCUUCACAUGCACCCCCAAACAUAAAAUAAAAGUUAAAGAAAGAAAAAAACAGAAACUCUUACUUAUAACUCAUUUCAUUUAAUAACGUUUUUACUCUUUUAAAAAUAAAAUAAUGCUAAUGAUGAUGAUAACAGGGUUCAUACCUGUAGAGCAUUUUACAAGUGGCAGAGAGCUUUCAUUGAUAUCAUUUCUCUUAAGUCUUCACCCUGUGAGGUAGGCAUAGAAAGAAAUUUUAUCCCCAAAUGACAGAUGAAAAAAUAGAGAGCCCAUGAGUUUAACUGACUUGCUCAAAGCCACAAAGGCUGCAUUUCCUGAGCCUGAGUACCCCUAGGAAGAGCUCCAGCCAAUCUAGGGUGCAGAACCAAUGAGUUAGUUUAUCAUUUAUCAAUCCCAGUGAUGCAUAAGCUGUGCAGAAUUAGAAAGGUCAGCUCCAGGCUGGCCCACCAAAAAAGUAGAGGAAAACUUGGGAAUGCCCACUAGCCUAUUCAGAAGUUGGAUUCAGGUUGGGAGAAAGAAAAUAGGAGCCGAAUUAUUUUGAGGUGGUAUACACGAGUUACCUAUUGCCAUUGUAACAAAGCCAGCACAAACUUGGUGGCUUACAAUGACAUAAAUUUAUCCUUUUACAGUUCUGGAAACCAAAAAUCCAACAUUAAUUUCUCUGGGCUUUCAAAUCAAGCUGCCAGCAGGGAGAGUUCCUUCUGGAGGCUGUAGGGGAGAAUGUAUUUCCUUGCCUUUUUCAGCUUCCAGAGAUUCUCAUAUUCUUUGACUUGUGGCCCCUUCCUCCAUCUUCAAUGCAUAUAAUCUCUGUUUCCAUUGUCACACAACUCUCCUCCUACACCUUACAAUGGACCCAUCUGGAUGACAUGGGAUAAUCUCUGCACUUCAUGACCCCUAACUUAAUCACAUCUGCAAAGUCCCUUUAACAUGUAGGAGAACAUAGUCCCAGGUUCCAGGAAUUAGGACAUGGGCAUCUUUGGGACCAUCAUUCAGUCUACCAUAGGUGACAAGGUGACAGGCGGAUGGUGGCCACCGUUUUUUUUUGCAUGGUUGUGUUUGCCUGUCUGAAAGCCACACUCCUCACUGCCACCUGACAUGUAGAGGCCAAAAUAGAAAACACAUCUUCAGAUCCCAAGUAAAGUGCUCUUUCAGGCACGUCACACCUGCCAUCUCAAACUAUAUUUACAUUCAUUUUUGCAAAUAGCCCAUUCUUGUAUAGAAGGCAAUUAAUAUUUGCAUAAUGUUUUAGAGUUUAUAAUGGCCUUUUUAUUUACAUGAAGUCACUUAAACCCCUACAAUAGCCCUCUGAGACAGUUAUUAUUAACACAUUUUUACAUAUGAAGAAGCUAAGGCUCAGCGGGGUGAAGUGGUUUGUCUAAGGUCACCCAGCUGGUAAGGGCAAGACCACAAUGCAAAUCCCAAAAGUUCCACUAUAUUCCGCUCUAAAUAAUGAGUCUAUACUGAAGUCCACUUACUAGCCAUGGUGGCUUAUCUUUUGGGGAUACUCUGAAGGUGAAUGGGGUCUCCAUUGCGCUUUUGAGAUAAAAUGAGUCAAUAAAUGUGAAAGUCCUUUGUAGCAGUAUGACUCACUAUGACAGAAAGUUAUUGAUAGCAUUAUCAUCAUCACCACCAACAUCCUCUGCCCUGGAGACCAAGAGAAUUCAAACAGGUCAGCACCUCUAAUUGCUGUAUAGAACAUUGACCCUACUGUCUCCCAGUUCCUGAGGAUGGUGUGAUAAUAAUACAUCUCAGAGUUCUGUAGUUUCUUCACCACUGUGCAGGUGUGGUUGGUGGGAGCAAUGCCCUGGAUGGAUAAGCCAAGCUCUUGUGUCCUGGCAGAUAAACAAGGUGAACCCUCAAUCCGUGUAGCAGGAGUUUCCAGACAAACUCACUUUGCAUGGAAGGACACUAACCCUUCCAGAUGUGUCUAAUUUUGUGGAAAGGAGAAGGUUGGGAGCUCCGGAGCUAAUAGGAUGCACAGGAGGAAGAUACGGAGCACAGUGGCUGAGACCUGACAGCUCUCUGAAGACUCCACUUCACCGCCGCCACUCCACUUCACCGCCGCCAGCCCUGGCCCACACCUUUCUUAAGAGCAACUUAAGAAAUUUGCAACUUCAAAACCAGACCAGAGGGUGAGAAGAACUAGCCAACCCAUCCUCCAAGUGUGACUGAGCGGUCAGGCUGCCCCCACCUCAUUUGAGUGAGACCGCCAAGAGCCUUCACGUGGGACCUAGACCACAGGAACACAAUUAGGAAGUACUCCCUGCCCCUCACAACGGCCAUCCUCACCAGGCAGCGGGGACAGAAGGGAGGCAGGUGCAUUCAAAUCGCGCUGGCCUGAAGAAGGGAAAUGAAGCGCUAAACUCAGCUCGGUCCCACAAUGAGUCAGAAUGGGGGCAGGGAGGAGCGCCCAAAGCCCUCUGGCCCUUCUCCUUGGGAACUAGUCCUGCACAUGGCCACCAGCCCUGGGAAUCACAGCAUUUGGCAUGGGUCUCAGUUCUUGUACUCCAUUGCUGUGGGACAAGAGACACUAAACUUCCAGGUUUUCUCUCAAUAGCUGGCUUCACCUGUAAACACAGUGGCAUAUUAGACAAGCUCUCUUCAUCUGAAAUGUGCCCACCCCCCCAACAAUCCCACCUUUGCCUGCUCAAACCUGACUCAUGCUUCAUGUUCAUAUUCAACUUCUUCCCUUGUGCUUCUAACUAAAUCUAGGAAUCUCCUUGUUCUUAGAACCACCUUUAUCCCUUCUCAGAUAUUUAUGUAUAUCAGUUUUUAAAUGAAAAUAAUUUCUCACCUAUUAAGCUGGGCACCCUGCUAAUCACUUUCACACUUGCUGUUUAA